CAUCCACACCGUCACUCUCUCUCUUCUCUCCCCCUCUCUCUCACCUACCGCCACCUCCCACACCACCACCAUCCCGACGAUCUGCUCCUCCGUCUUCUCCGGCGACAUCACCGUCGCUCUGGCGACAUCACCGUCGCUCCGGCGACAUCACCGUCUCCUCCGUCUUCUCCGGCAACAUCACCGUCUCCUCCGUCUUCUCCUGCGACAUAACCGUCUCCUCCGUUCCAGUGGGGGUGGUGGGUUUAAUGGUGUUUGUUGCUGGUUUGGGUUGUUGCAGGUUGGGGUUAGGGUUCUAGUGGGGGUGGUGAUGGUCGAGACGGUGGUGGGUGAAGGAGAGAGAGAGAGAAUCGAUGGUGGUGGGUGGGUUGUGUGGGUGGUUUUGGUGGAAGCAAAGAAGUUAUUUCCUCACACUUGAUGUAUACUCUUCACAUAAAGGUUGUCUUCCGGUCACUUUGACAUAAUAAUUUUGCCCUAUAAAUACUUCCAAAACUGCAUUCUCUAUGUACACUGACGACUCAAACUUUAAAAUCAGAGGUAUUUUUAAACGGUGGUGGGUGAACAGGGCCUGAUGAACAAUUUUGAUUGCUUAUUAUAUGCAAAAAAAAAAAAAUUAUGAUUGUAAAAUUUGAAUUUAUUCUUAUAACAAUGGAAGUUCUUAUUUUU
RNAcentral lists this long non-coding RNA (663 nucleotides) under Helianthus annuus (common sunflower). RNAcentral's name for it is "hypothetical non coding rna". Lineage: Eukaryota; Viridiplantae; Streptophyta; Magnoliopsida; Asterales; Asteraceae. The record is from RNAcentral.